AUUGAACGCUGGCGGCAGGCUUAACACAUGCAAGUCGAGCGAGCGGCGGACGGGUGAGUAAUGUCUGGGAAACUGCCUGAUGGAGGGGGAUAACUACUGGAAAAGGUAGCUAAUACCGCAUACCAUCAGAUGUGCCCAGAGGGGAUUAGCUAGUAGGUGUGGUAAUGGCUCACCUAGGCGACGAUCCCUAGCUGGUCUGAGAGGAUGACCAGCCACAAGGGAACUGUGACACGGUCCAGACUCCUAACGGAGGCAGCAGUGGGAAAUAUUGCACAAUGGGCGCAAGCCUGAUGCAGGCAUGCCGCGUGUAUGAAGAAGUCCUUCGGGUUGUAACGUACUUUCAGCGGGGAGGCGUUAACCGCAGAAGAAGCACCGGCUAACUCCGUGCCAGCAGCCGCGGUAAUUC
Molecule: ribosomal RNA, 406 nt
Filed under: uncultured bacterium
Lineage: Bacteria
Description: partial 16S ribosomal RNA
Rfam family: Bacterial small subunit ribosomal RNA
Source: RNAcentral